AGUUACAGCGCUGAAACUUUCAGCAGGUCAUACACACCUGAGACACGCGGACGAGAAGGAGAGCAGUCGGUUUCUGAUCCACAACAAAGUGUUUUGCUGAAGAAGACAGAAAGACUUUAAGAGAAACUUCCAAAAAAAAAUCAUCAGGCUGUAAAAGAAGAAGAAAAGUGCUUUGGUUGUAAAGACCGUCCGAGUGUUAAAAACGGAUUAACGGGAUGCCAGGAAUGAGCGCGCAGGAAACCAGCACGACUUUAGAAGACUGGAGCUGGACGCUGGCUAAAAAAGCCUCCGCUAAAAGCGGCUCCAGUCUGACGCGUUCAGGAAGCGUCAAAGAUCUGAUAUUCAAGUUUGACGGAUCGUCCAACACCUCACCAAAGACUAAAGAGAAAAAUAAACACCAGAGCAGAGAAAAGGAGAAAAACGAGAGCUCGAAGAAGAAAAUGGAGGAAACUGAGGUGAAAAAAGAGGAGUGUGUACUUAUUAAACUCGAUGAAGAGAAUCGUGAUGUUGCACAGGAGUCGCAUUCCAGCUUCAAUGGACAGAAGCAGCAGCCGGAGGAGCCUGCAGCCUCAAAGUCCCGUCCAAACCCCAAAUAUCAGCUGUAUUUGGGCUCCAAUGGGACAAGCAGCACCAGCAGGACCAGUAAAGCCAAUGGGACCAGCAGCAGCUCUAACGGGUCAUUAGGGGACAGUGGCACAGGUUCAGGUUCGAGUGCUGCAUUCAAUGGGAAUCUGCUGCGGGUCAGUUCUGUGAUCCGCGGGUCCAUGGAGUCACUGUCGUCCCGGGACUGGGACAGCAUGUCAGACAGAAUGGGAGGUUUCGACAGUCCUCCUCGAGUCUUCAACAGCCCGUAUUCAACACUCUCACUGGAUUAUAAUCCCGUCAACAGAAUGUCUGACUUUAAGUCACAGGAAGUGAUGUCACCAGGCGCCUCAGACAUGAACCUGUUUGGUCUGAACAGAAGUGUGAGUCCGGUCAGCAGUCCAGCGGUCGUUCAGAGAUCCCGAAUCUCCGGAUACGACAGUCUGCCACGCAGACGAGACGCGACUCCAGGUCAGCUGAUGCAGAGGAGCAACCAGCCCAAUAAACGAGACUUUAUCCAGGAGCUGACCUUACAGCUGGAUGAGUGCCGCAGGAGGAACCAGUUUCUGGAAGCAGAGAGCGUAGAGAUGGAGAAAGAGAGGAAUCAGAUUCGUUUCGAAAUGCGAGGCCUGUUGGUCAACAAUGAGGAUCUGUUGCGCACAAAUACACAGAUGCAGGGCGAGACAAACCGUCUGCGGGAGAAAAUCGUGGAGCUGGAGAGCAACAAUAAUGUCCUGGUGGAGCGAUUCAGAAAGAUGGAGCUCGAGCUGAAGGAGGCACGUGAGGUGAUGGUGGAAGCAAACACUCAAGAAUAUGCCUUCAACUUCCUGCAGCAGACGCUCAAGAACAAAAUACAAGACACUGAGGAAGCUCUGGAGAAACAGAGUCAGCACGCUCAGACUGUGUCAGAAAAACUUUGGCACGCGGAGAGAAAUCUGGAGGAGCUGGAGCUGGAGAAGGAAAACAAGAGCAAGAAGGUUCUAGAACUCGGAAACACUGUGUUCAGACUGGAGACUGAGCUGGCAGAUGCUCUCCAGGAUGCCAACCAGGCACGCUCCGAGCUCAACCUGCAGCAGAAACUGCGUGCGGACGCUCAACUGAGGGUGGAGGAGCUGGAGGAGAGUGUGUUAGAGAAAGACCAGGAGCUGCUGCGCCUCACACAGAUCACCAGCAGACUGCAGGGAGAGGUGUCUGAUAAGCUCAGUGAUAAAGAGCAGACUCUAGAGGAAGAGAUCCAGCUGCGGGAGCGAGUGCAGCUUCAGUGUAAGCAGGCGGAGAGAACCGUGGAGGAUCUGCGCAUGGAGCUGCAGACGCUCAGCCAGAGCAGAGACGAGCUCGCCAAACAGCUCAAACUCACACAGGAGAACAUCAUCGAUCUGGAGGGAGAUCUGGAGGAGCUUCAUGAGAAUGAGCAGAGAUGGGCUGCCAAACACAAGAGAGCCCUCGAUCAGUCUGAGCAGCUGCAGAUGAAACUCAUCCAGGAGAAAGAUCUGAAUGACCAGUUGGAGUGUGACAAGGCCAUCCUGGAGAGACAGCUGAGAGAUCUGCGCAGUGAAGUGGAGGAACUGCAGAACAACAGAGUCGAGGUCGAUUCCAUCACUAGAGCUGAAAUCAAAGCUAAAGAACUGGAGAACACACUGCGGGCAGAGGAGAGGAAUAAAGUGGCUCUGACAAACACCAUCAGUAAACUGGAGAGGAAGAUUCAUGAGCUGACGGAGCAGAUGGAGGAGGAGCACAAGAUCUCCACUGAACAGAGGGAGCUGAUGACUCAGCGCAUCCGCUCACUGAAGCGUCAGCUGAACGAGGCUGAAGAAGAAGCGAGUCGGCGAGACGUUCAGCACCGACACACACAGAGGGAACUGAUGGAGGAGAGAGAAGCAAACAGCCGCUUACAGAGACAACUACUGGACCAGCAGCUCAGCAACAAGAGGAAAGAAUCACGGCAGACUCUGGAAAGCCUGAAACUGACGGUGAGUGAAGAUAUUGAAGAAGAACAGGAUGAAUCCAAACCCACAGAGAAGCAGAUCACACAGGUCUGACCAAAAACACUGAGAAUCCUGCAGGUCUGACCAAGAAAUGGUCCAUAACACUGAGAAUCCUGCAGGUCUGACCAAAAACAACCAAAAACACUGAGAAUCCUGCAGGUCUGACCAAAAACAACCAAAAAACUGCUCCAAAACACUGAGAAUCCUGCAGGUCUGACCAAAAACAACCAAAAACACUGAGAAUCCUGCAGGUCUAACCAAAAAAUGGUCCAUAACACUGAGAAUCCUGCAGGUCUGACCAAAAACAACCAAAAACACUGAGAAUCCUGCCGGUCUGACCAAAAACAACCAAAAACACUGAGAAUCCUGCCGGUCUGACCAAAGAAUGGUCCAUAACACUGAGAAUCCUGCAGGUCUGACCAAAAACAACCAAAAACACUGAGAAUCCUGCCGGUCUGACCAAAGAAUGGUCCAUAACACUGAGAAUCCUGCAGGUCUGACCAAAAACAACCAAAAACACUGAGAAUCCUGCCGGUCUGACCAAAGAAUGGUCCAUAACACUGAGAAUCCUGCAGGUCUGACCAAAAACAACCAAAAACACUGAGAAUCCUGCCGGUCUGACCAAAGAAUGGUCCAUAACACUGAGAAUCCUGCAGGUCUGAUCAAAAACAACCAAAAACACUGAGAAUCCUGCCGGUCUGACCAAAGAAUGGUCCAUAACACUGAGAAUCCUGCAGGUCUGACCAAAAACAACCCAAAAAAAGUGCUCCAAAACAUUGAUAAUCCUGCAGGUCUAACCAAAAACAACCAAAAAACUGGUCCAAAACACUGAGAAUUCUGCCACAGAUAAACUGUUUCCUCGUUAUCCACUGAGCUGAGAUCAGAUGAACACUUAACCCAGCCUGGAUCGACAAAACCAGAUUCAGGAGACAAAAAGAAUCGAACCCUUUCCUGAGGACGGACACUUUUAGGAAUGUAAUACUGGAAUAAAUAUUCGCCUUGAUGUGAAAUUUUAGUUAUUGUUCAAAUAUUUCCCAAGUGUUUCUGUUUUUAUCUCCUGAGAAGGGCUUUUAAAUGUGUAUUUUCUUUUAAAGGGCACCCUUUUUACAAGUAUAAGAUAAGCCUUUGGUGUCUCCAGAAUGUGUCUGUAAAGUCUCAGCUCAAAACACCCAUCAGAUGAUUUAUUAUAGCCUCCAGAAUCUGCCCAUUUUGGUGUCUGAGUUCAGUGUAGCUGUUUUAGUAGCCCGUGGCUUUAAAUGCAAAUGAUCAUCACUUGGGAAAUAUUUUGAUAUAAAAGAAUUACAAUUUCACAUGAGGGUGAAUAAUGUUGAUUUCCAGCAGGUAAAAGACGCCACUGCCCGGUUUGUGUCGUUUACAGUAAGCUAUUAAGAUUAUUAUUAUUGUUAUUAUUAUUAUAAGGUAUAUUCAUUAUUCUUCAUCAAGCUAUCCGUUCCAUUGUUUCUAUUAUUAUUGUUAUUCUGAAUGAAUUCAAUCAGCUGUUUACAUUGUGCGUAUAUCAGAAUUAGUGCAGGGCAAAGAUUAAUCGUGAUUAAUCAAAUAAUAAAAGUGUGUGUGUGUGUGUGUGUGUGUGAGUGUGUGUUAUAAACAGUAAAAUCUGUACUGUACAUAAAACAAACUAUUCAAAACUAUUUUAUUGCAUAAAUAUUUAAAUGGAUGUAUAAUUUGUGCCAUAUACAUAUAGAUUUUGUCAAAAUAUAUCAAAUAUUUACAUUAUUUAUAUAUACAUAUAUAUAUACAUAUAUAUACAUACAUAUAUAUAUAUAUAUAUAUAUAUACAUACAUACAUACAUACAUACACACACAUUAUAAAUAUACACUAUAAAUACACACACACACAUAUUGUCAAAACAAACUUUUAUUUUGAAUAAUCACGAAUAAUCUUCAUCCAGCACGAAUAUUAGCAUAAUUUGCAUAGAAAUUAAUAUUCAUGAUGAAGUGUGUUUGUUAUUCAUGAUGUUUAUUGGUCACACUUUAUUUUAGGUCACAAUUCAAAUCAUUUACUAAGACUUUUAGCACAAUUAACUACUAAUUAGCUACUAAGUAAUAGGUUCUAAAGCUAGUAGUUAGGUUUAUGUAAUGGGAUUAGAGCUGUAAAAUAAGAUCACACUUUAUUAGUGCUAAUAAACAGUUCAUAUUUUAAUAAUAUGUAAAUAAUAAGUCAGUAGUGAAUAGUGUGAGUUGUGACUUAAACUGAAGUGUUUCUGAUUUCUUUAGGGUUUUAAGUGAGCUUGCAUGCAGAUCAGAACUGGUGAAUGGAUGAAUGUUAGUUCUGCUGAAGGUUAUUAAGCAGUUUUUGGGAAUCCUGUUUAAGUGUUAAUGAUAAAACAUGUUUAAAGGGAUCCAUUUUGUGUUUCUUAUUUUAGUGCCAUUUGAAAUACAGCAUCAGUUUGGCUUCAGGGUGUUUCGUAUGUAGCUCUCGCUUUAAUGUGCAUCUACACAAUGCUAAUAAACCAUUAGAAAUGA
RNA transcript from Danio aesculapii, 5051 nucleotides. It is a transcript of the gene named cingulin-like protein 1, with no coding region annotated. The record is from RefSeq and is a predicted model, not a curated record. The transcript has 20 exons. NCBI's taxonomy places the organism in Eukaryota, Metazoa, Chordata, Actinopteri, Cypriniformes, Danionidae.